UCUUGAAUGUGAUCAUGAUUCAAUCAUAUACCUUGGGAAGUCUGUUGAACCAACAAUAUAUGAUCUUUUGGGUGAUCAAGAGGUUGAAAUCUACUUGUUGAAAAAUGGAAAACCAUCAUGGACGAAGAAGAAGUUUCUUUGCUCCAAAGUCAG
Long non-coding RNA from Zingiber officinale, 153 nucleotides. RefSeq lists it as uncharacterized. The record is from RefSeq and is a predicted model, not a curated record. NCBI's taxonomy places the organism in Eukaryota, Viridiplantae, Streptophyta, Magnoliopsida, Zingiberales, Zingiberaceae. The transcript has 3 exons.